AGAAGUGAGGAUGAUCUGGCUGUGAUAUCUGUCACCCUAUUGAUCAGCCAGGGUUGAUUCUGCUGAUCUGGUUAGCUAGGCAUUGUCCCCUUCCUCCCUCACUGCUUUGUGUGCGUCCCUCCCAAAGCUGCAAGCUCAGUUGAAGAGGAUGACCUUCCCCCAUAGAGGAGGACCCUUCUUCAGUCAAGGUAUACGAGUAGCUGCAUUCCCUUGCUAGAACUUCCAAAUGAGCUUUCAAAGGGAGGGAUUCUUUUUGGAUGGGCCAAGCAGAGAAGAGCAGUAUUUUGAACAAAUGAUACAACCUAUUAUAGUUGCUUAAUA
RNAcentral lists this small nuclear RNA (321 nucleotides) under Vulpes vulpes (red fox). RNAcentral's name for it is "7SK RNA (ENSVVUG00000025804.1)". It matches the Rfam family "7SK RNA". Rfam says of the family: 7SK was discovered as an abundant small nuclear RNA in the mid-70s but a possible function has only recently been suggested. Two independent studies have found that 7SK RNA binds the CDK9/cyclin T complex (known as elongation factor P-TEFb). P-TEFb activates transcription by phosphorylating the C-terminal domain of RNA polymerase II. Lineage: Eukaryota; Metazoa; Chordata; Mammalia; Carnivora; Canidae. The record is from RNAcentral.